Molecule: ribosomal RNA, 494 nt
Filed under: uncultured bacterium
Lineage: Bacteria
Description: partial 16S ribosomal RNA
Rfam family: Bacterial small subunit ribosomal RNA
Source: RNAcentral
UGGGGAAUAUUGCACAAUGGGCGAAAGCCUGAUGCAGCAACGCCGCGUGAGUGAUGAAGGUCUUCGGAUUGUAAAGCUCUGUCUUUUGGGACGAUAAUGACGGUACCAAAGGAGGAAGCCACGGCUAACUACGUGCCAGCAGCCGCGGUAAUACGUAGGUGGCGAGCGUUGUCCGGANUUUACUGGGCGUAAAGGGUGCGUAGGCGGAUGUUUAAGUGAGAUGUGAAAUACCCGGGCUUAACUUGGGUGCUGCAUUUCAAACUGGAUAUCUAGAGUGCAGGAGAGGAGAAUGGAAUUCCUAGUGUAGCGGUGAAAUGCGUAGAGAUUAGGAAGAACACCAGUGGCGAAGGCGAUUCUCUGGACUGUAACUGACGCUGAGGCACGAAAGCGUGGGUAGCAAACAGGAUUAGAUACCCUGGUAGUCCACGCCGUAAACGAUGAGUACUAGGUGUAGGAGGUAUCGACCCCUUCUGUGCCGCAGUAAACACAUUAAG